UGGGGAAUAUUGCACAAUGGGCGCAAGCCUGAUGCAGCGACGCCGCGUGGGGGAUGACGGCCUUCGGGUUGUAAACUCCUUUCGCUAGGGACGAAGCUUUUUGUGACGGUACCUAGAUAAGAAGCAACGGCUAACUACGUGCCAGCAGCCGCGGUAAUACGUAGGGUGCGAGCGUUGUCCGGAAUUACUGGGCGUAAAGGGCUCGUAGGUGGUUUGUCGCGUCGUCUGUGAAAUUCCGGGGCUUAACUCCGGGCGUGCAGGCGAUACGGGCAUAACUUGAGUACUGUAGGGGUAACUGGAAUUCCUGGUGUAGCGGUGAAAUGCGCAGAUAUCAGGAGGAACACCGAUGGCGAAGGCAGGUUACUGGGCAGUUACUGACGCUGAGGAGCGAAAGCAUGGGUAGCGAACAGG
RNAcentral lists this ribosomal RNA (411 nucleotides) under Actinomycetes bacterium. Its description in RNAcentral is "Actinobacteria bacterium partial 16S ribosomal RNA". It matches the Rfam family "Bacterial small subunit ribosomal RNA", at positions 355 to 776 of the family's 1533-position model. The record is from RNAcentral. Lineage: Bacteria; Bacillati; Actinomycetota; Actinomycetes.